This 196-nucleotide ribosomal RNA is filed under the name Spirometra erinaceieuropaei. Its description in RNAcentral is "partial small subunit ribosomal RNA". It matches the Rfam family "Eukaryotic small subunit ribosomal RNA", at positions 1635 to 1817 of the family's 1831-position model. The record is from RNAcentral. Lineage: Eukaryota; Metazoa; Platyhelminthes; Cestoda; Diphyllobothriidea; Diphyllobothriidae.
CUUGCGCUGAUUACGUCCCUGCCCUUUGUACACACCGCCCGUCGCUACUACCGAUUGAAUGGUUUAGUAAGGUCCUCGGAUUGGCGCCAUUGCAGUGUCAGCCGCAAGGUUGGUGCUCGACAGGUGCCGAGAAGACGACCAAACUUGAUCAUUUAGAGGAAGUAAAAGUCGUAACAAGGUUCCGUAGGUGAACCUG